Long non-coding RNA from Melitaea cinxia (Glanville fritillary), 248 nucleotides. RefSeq lists it as uncharacterized. NCBI's taxonomy places the organism in Eukaryota, Metazoa, Arthropoda, Insecta, Lepidoptera, Nymphalidae. The record is from RefSeq and is a predicted model, not a curated record. The transcript has 3 exons.
UUUAUCAAAGUAUCAGAAUUUUUUUUAUCAAAAAUAAUGUUCAAACCUAAUUGUGCGUUUUUAAUUUUUUAGAGAAUAAAGGUCCGAAAACUUUUGAGAAAAUAAUUUAUAAUAAUUGGCAAAAUCAAGCAACAGAAAAAGAUGAUGAAGAUACUGGAGAUAUUUUGUACAAUCCAAAUAUAUUAAGAUGGCAGCAUUUUAAAUACAACUUUUGCAGAGUUAUAAAAUAAAAAAAAUCUAAAAUAAAA